Long non-coding RNA from Panicum virgatum (switchgrass), 592 nucleotides. RefSeq lists it as uncharacterized. NCBI's taxonomy places the organism in Eukaryota, Viridiplantae, Streptophyta, Magnoliopsida, Poales, Poaceae. The transcript is spliced from 2 exons. The record is from RefSeq and is a predicted model, not a curated record.
GUUGAAAAAAGAGGAUGAAGCUUCAUUGAAUCCCGCUCAGUACAACAACAGCGAAUACUACAGCAACAGCUCGGAUGACAUCAACCCUAACGACGACUACUAUAUCAUAGAUUCAGACCGUGAACCAACAGAAUGAAAGCAUAAAUACUAGGUAACCACACCAAAAAAAAAAGCCUUUCUUCUUACAUGUAAACCAAUAAUAUACUUUUGUAGACCAAAUACUCUUAUGAUUAAUUACAGGAAGUAACUGUAUCUGCCAGCAGGCGAACGACGUCUCCAAGCACAUCAAAUAAAGUAGAAAGAACCUCUCUGUUCCAUUAUGAGUAAAUAUAUUAUCAGCCGGCUCUCUUAACUAAAUUUAUUUAAUGCAAAUUAAAAAAUAUUGCCAAACGAAAUCGAUCAAACACUUUACGCGCGCGGUGGUGUGCGCAAGGAGCAAUAUUUAGCAGCUUCAACUGUGCAAGCUUUUCUCUUAUUUUUUUUUCCAAAACACUGUGCAAGUUUUUACCUCCCUCAUCCUUUUUCUACACCCCAAGUAUAAUAUAUGUACAUCUCUAUGUAUAUUAAUAUGUAUGCACUAUCUUUCCUUAUA